This 231-nucleotide ribosomal RNA is filed under the name uncultured bacterium. RNAcentral describes it as "partial 16S ribosomal RNA". It matches the Rfam family "Bacterial small subunit ribosomal RNA", at positions 28 to 257 of the family's 1533-position model. The record is from RNAcentral.
GACGAACGUUGGCGGCGUGCCUAAUACAUGCAAGUCAACUGAAAUACCGGUAGCAAUACUGGUAUGGAGGUGGCGCACGGGUGAGUAACACGUAGGUAAUCUGCCUUCAGGUCUGACAUAACCCAUCGAAAGGUGAGCUAAUAUCAGAUGAUGCAGCGGCUUGACAUCAAGACAGUUGUUAAAGCUUCGGCGCCUGAAGAUGAGCCUGCGCUGAUUAGCUAGUUGGCGGGU